Long non-coding RNA from Teleopsis dalmanni, 510 nucleotides. RefSeq lists it as uncharacterized. The transcript is spliced from 3 exons. Lineage: Eukaryota; Metazoa; Arthropoda; Insecta; Diptera; Diopsidae. The record is from RefSeq and is a predicted model, not a curated record.
AAGAAAUAAAAAAAAUUAUCUACAUUACGGUGAAACAGUUCUGAAGACUUGUAAAUAUUUCUUAUAAUACAUUCCGGAAACUCUAUUUCUUAACGUUUUUUUCAAGGUUCGGAGAUAUUAUUCUUAACUGCACUAUAACUAGUGCAGCCAUAUUUUUCUCUUAGUCAUACUUAAUCGGAAAAAAAUAAAAGUCAAUUUACAGUCAAUUAUCACCAGUUAAUAGGUGUUUAAGUCGGUAGAAUAUACUUUCAAAAUUUUUAUCAAAAUUUAUAACCAUAUUGUUCAAGAAAUUUUAAUACGUUGUCAAAUAAUUUUCUCAAGACCUAUACGUUUCCUAGAAGGUUCCAAAACAAUCGAAGAAAUUAAGAAAUUUGUAAAAUUUCUGCAACUCUACAUAAACGUUUUCUACUGGGUUCUAUAUAUUGUUUGCUACAACACUACUCUCGUCCAUAAUUUGUAAAUUAAGAAAAGUUUUGCUUAGUAAAACAAAUACAUAAUACGUUUAUUUCA